GCAUAUCAAUAAGCGGAGGAAAAGAAACCAACCGGGAUUACCCUAGUAACGGCGAGUGAAGCGGUAAGAGCUCAAAUUUGAAAGCUGGCCCCUUCGGGGUCCGCAUUGUAAUUUGCAGAGGAUGCUUCGGGAGCGGUCCCCAUCUAAGUGCCCUGGAACGGGCCGUCAUAGAGGGUGAGAAUCCCGUAUGGGAUGGGGUGCCCGCGCCCGUGUGAAGCUCCUUCGACGAGUCGAGUUGUUUGGGAAUGCAGCUCUAAUUGGGUGGUAAAUUUCAUCUAAAGCUAAAUAUUGGCCGGAGACCGAUAGCGCACAAGUAGAGUGAUCGAAAGAUGAAAAGCACUUUGAAAAGAGAGUUAAACAGCACGUGAAAUUGUUGAAAGGGAAGCGCUUGCGAUCAGACUCGCUCGCGGGGUUCAGCCGGCCUUCGGGCCGGUGUACUUCCCCGCGGGCGGGCCAGCGUCGGUUUGGGCGGCCGGUCAAAGGCCCCUGGAAUGUAACGCCUCUCGGGGCGUCUUAUAGCCAGGGGUGCCAUGCGGCCUGCCCGGACCGAGGAACGCGCUUCGGCUCGGACGCUGGCAUAAUGGUCGUAAGCGACCCGUCUUGAAACACGGACCAAGGAGUCUAACAUCUACGCGAGUGUUCGGGUGUCAAACCCGUGCGCGCAGUGAAAGCGAACGGAGGUGGGAACCCCUCGGGGUGCACCAUCGACCGAUCCUGAUGUCUUCGGAUGGAUUUGAGUAAGAGCGUAGCUGUUGGGACCCGAAAGAUGGUGAACUAUGCCUGAAUAGGGCGAAGCCAGAGGAAACUCUGGUGGAGGCUCGCAGCGGUUCUGACGUGCAAAUCGAUCGUCAAAUUUGGGUAUAGGGGCGAAAGACUAAUCGAACCAUCUAGUAGCUGGUUCCUGCCGAA
RNAcentral lists this ribosomal RNA (909 nucleotides) under Penicillium manginii. RNAcentral describes it as "LSU rRNA". It matches the Rfam family "Eukaryotic large subunit ribosomal RNA", at positions 38 to 965 of the family's 3401-position model. Lineage: Eukaryota; Fungi; Ascomycota; Eurotiomycetes; Eurotiales; Aspergillaceae. The record is from RNAcentral.